CUUGGGUAAUCUCGGGCCGCAAUCUGGGACAAGCCCUGGAAACGGGGUCUAAUACCGGAUACUGAUCGCCUUGGGCAUCCUUGGUGAUCGAAAGCUCCGGCGGUGCAGGAUGAGCCCGCGGCCUAUCAGCUUGUUGGUGAGGUAAUGGCUCACCAAGGCGACGACGGGUAGCCGGCCUGAGAGGGCGACCGGCCACACUGGGACUGAGACACGGCCCAGACUCCUACGGGAGGCAGCAGUGGGGAAUAUUGCACAAUGGGCGAAAGCCUGAUGCAGCGACGCCGCGUGAGGGAUGACGGCCUUCGGGUUGUAAACCUCUUUCAGCAGGGAAGAAGCGAAAGUGACGGUACCUGCAGAAGAAGCGCCGGCUAACUACGUGCCAGCAGCCGCGGUAAUACGUAGGGCGCGAGCGUUGUCCGGAAUUAUUGGGCGUAAAGAGCUCGUAGGCGGCUUGUCGCGUCGGUUGUGAAAGCCCGGGGCUUAACCCCGGGUCUGCAGUCGAUACGGGCAGGCUAGAGUUCGGUAGGGGAGAUCGGAAUUCCUGGUGUAGCGGUGAAAUGCGCAGAUAUCAGGAGGAACACCGGUGGCGUAAGGCGGAUCUCUGGGCCGAUACUGACGCUGAGGAGCGGAAAGCGUGGGGAGCGAACAGGAUUAGAUACCCUGGUAGU
This 668-nucleotide ribosomal RNA is filed under the name Streptomyces althioticus. RNAcentral describes it as "bacterial SSU rRNA". It matches the Rfam family "Bacterial small subunit ribosomal RNA", at positions 116 to 794 of the family's 1533-position model. The record is from RNAcentral. Lineage: Bacteria; Bacillati; Actinomycetota; Actinomycetes; Kitasatosporales; Streptomycetaceae.